Myxocyprinus asiaticus (Chinese sucker) is the source of this 2582-nucleotide long non-coding RNA. RefSeq lists it as uncharacterized. The transcript is spliced from 3 exons. NCBI's taxonomy places the organism in Eukaryota, Metazoa, Chordata, Actinopteri, Cypriniformes, Catostomidae. The record is from RefSeq and is a predicted model, not a curated record.
AUGACCAAGAAAAGGCAGACAUCUUUUUCACAUGUGUGAAGUCAUUCAAACUAUUGCACAAUAACAACAAAACAAUAAUAAAGAAGAUAUAUCUUAAUUCCUAUGUUCAUGAGGAUUCCCAGCAAACACAGAACGUUCCCCUAAUGUUAGCAUAUGGUUCCCGUUUGGUUAUUUUUUUCUGAAAACCAAUCCCUAACGUUCUCAGAACGUUCUCUGUGGAUUCUCUUUUUUUAUAACCAUAAUCUAACGUUCCCAGAGCGUUGGAGGGAGUUUUUUGUGGGACAACCUAAAACUAACUUAUACAGAACGUUUUCUAAUGGUUAUUUUUAGGUUUUAUAACCAUGAACUAACCUACCCAGAACGUUCCAGGGAUCCAGCAAACACAGAACAUUCCCCUAACGUUAGUAUAUGGUUCCCGUUUGGCUAUUUGUUUUUUUUUUUUGUUUUUUUGGAAACCAAUCACUAACGUUCUUGGAAUGUUCUCUUUAGGUUCUAUUUGUUUAAUAACCAUAAUCUAACGUUCCCAGAGCGUUGGAGGGAGGUUUUUGUGGGACAACCUAAAACUAACUUAUAAAGAAUGUUUUCUAAUGGUUAUUUUUAGGUUUUAUAACCAUGAACUAACCUACCUAGAACGUUCCCCUAAUGUUAGUAUAUGGUUCCCAUUUGGUUAUUUGUUUUAUUUUUAUUUUUUGGAAACCAAUCACUAACGUUCUUGGAACAUUCUCUUUAGAUUCUAUUUGUUUAAUAACCAUAAUCUAACGUUCCCAGAGCGUUGAAGGGAGGUUUUUGUGGGACAACCUAAAACUAACUUAUAAAGAAUGUUUUCUAAUGGUUAUUUUUAGGUUUUAUAACCAUGAACCAGCCUACCCAGAACGUUCCAGGGAUCUAGCAAAUGCAGAACGUUCCCCUAAUGUUAGCAUAUGGUUCCCAUUUGGUAAUUUUUUUUAUUGAUUUUUUUUUUUUUGGAAACCAAUCCCUAACGUUCUUGGAACGUUCUCUUUAGGUUCUCUUUUUUUAUAACCAUAGUCUAACGUUCCCAGAGCGCUGGAGGGAGUUUUUAGUGGGACAACCUAAAACUAACUUAUAAAGAACGUUUUCUAAUGGUUAUUUUUAGGUUUUAUAACCAUGAACUAACCUACCUAGAACGUUCCCCUAAUGUUAGUAUAUGGUUCCCAUUUGGUUAUUUGUUUUAUUUUUAUUUUUUGUAAACCAAUCACUAACGUUCUUGGAACAUUCUCUUUAGAUUCUAUUUGUUUAAUAACCAUAAUCUAACGUUCCCAGAGCGUUGGAGGGAGGUUUUUGUGGGACAACCUAAAACAAACUUAUAAAGAAUGUUUUCUAAUGGUUAUUUUUAGGUUUUAUAACCAUUAACUAACCUACCCAGAACGUUCCAGGGAUCCAACAAACACAGAACGUUCCCCUAAUGUUAGCGUAUGGUUCCCGUUUGGUUAUUUUAUUCUGAAAACCAAUCCCUAACGUUCUCAGAACGUUCUCUGUAGAUUCUCUUUUUUUAUAACCAUAAUCUAACGUUCCCAGAGCGUUGAAGGGAGGUUUUUGUGGCACAACCUAAAACUAACUUAUAAAGAAUGUUUUCUAAUGGUUAUUUUUAGGUUUUUUAACCAUUAACUAACCUACCCAGAACAUUCCAGGGAUUCAGCAAACACAGAACAUUCCCCUAAUGUUAGCAUAUGGUUCCUGUUUGGUUAUUUUUUUCUGAAAACCAAUCCCUAACGUUCUUGGAACGUUCUCUGUAGAUUCUCUUUUUUUAUAACCAUAAUAUAACAUUCCCAGAGCGUUGGAGGGAGGUUUUUGUGGGACAACCUAAAACUAACUUAUAAAGAAUGUUUUCUAAUGGUUAUUUUUAGGUUUUAUAACCAUGAACUAACCUACCUAGAACGUUCCCCUAAUGUUAGUAUAUGGUUCCCGUUUAGUUAUUUGUUUUAUUUUUAUUUUUUGGAAACCAAUCCCUAAUGUUCUUGGAACAUUCUCUUUAGGUACUAUUUGUUUAAUAACCAUAAUCUAACGUUCCCAGAGCGUUGGAGGGAGGUUUUUGUAGGACAACCUAAAACUAACUUAUAAAGAAUGUUUUCUAAUGGUUAUUUUUAGGUUUUAUAACCAUGAACUAACCUACCCAGAACGUUCCAGGGAUCCAGCAAACACAGAACAUUCCCCUAAUGUUAGCAUAUGGUUCCCGUUUGACUAUUUUUUUUGUUUUUUUGGAAACCAAUCACUAACGUUCUUGGAAUGUUCUCUUUAGGUUCUAUUUGUUUAAUAACCAUAAUCUAACGUUCCCAGAGCGUUGGAGGGAGGUUUUUGUGGGACAACCUAAAACUAACUUAUAAAGAACGUUUUCUAAUGGUUAUUUUUAGGUUUUAUAACCAUGAACUAACCUACCUAGAACAUUCCCCUAAUGUUAGUAUAUGGUUCCCAUUUGGUUAUUUGUUUUAUUUUUAUUUUUUGGAAACCAAUCACUAACGUUCUUGGAACAUUCUCUUUAGAUUCUAUUUGUUUAAUAACCAUAAUCUAACGUUCCCAGAGCGUUGGAGGGAGGUUUUUGUGGGACAACCUAAAACUAACUUAUA